ACCUCGGAUCAGGUAGGGAUACCCGCUGAACUUAAGCAUAUCAAUAAGCGGAGGAAAAGAAACCAACAGGGAUUGCCUCAGUAACGGCGAGUGAAGCGGCAACAGCUCAAAUUUGAAAUCUGGCUCUUUUAGGGUCCGAGUUGUAAUUUGGAGAAGAUGCUUCGGGUGUGGCCCCGGCCUAAGUUCCUUGGAACAGGACGUCACAGAGGGUGAGAAUCCCGUACGUGGCCGGUGGCCUCGCCUAUGUGAAGCUCUUUCGACGAGUCGAGUUGUUUGGGAAUGCAGCUCAAAAUGGGUGGUAUAUUUCAUCUAAAGCUAAAUAUUGGCCAGAGACCGAUAGCGCACAAGUAGAGUGAUCGAAAGAUGAAAAGCACUUUGGAAAGAGAGUUAAACAGUACGUGAAAUUGUUGAAAGGGAAGCGCUUGCAACCAGACUUGCGCGCGGUUGAUCAUCCGGUGUUCGCACCGGUGCACUCGACCGCGCGCAGGCCAGCAUCGGUUUGGGCGGUUGGAUAAAGGCCCCAGGAAUGUGGCUCUCUUCGGGGAGUGUUAUAGCCUGGGGCGCAAUGCAGCCUGCCCGGACCGAGGA
Molecule: ribosomal RNA, 588 nt
Filed under: Myxotrichaceae sp. BESC246d
Lineage: Eukaryota; Fungi; Ascomycota; Leotiomycetes; Myxotrichaceae
Description: eukaryotic LSU rRNA
Rfam family: Eukaryotic large subunit ribosomal RNA
Source: RNAcentral